GAACAACUCUCAGCAACGGAUAUCUUGGCUCCUGCAACGAUGAAGAACGCAGCGAAAUGCGAUACGUAGUGUGAAUUGCAGAAUUCCGCGAAUCAUCGAGUUUUUGAACGCAAGUUGCGCCCGAGGCUUGACCAAGGGCAUUCCCGCCAGAGCGUCACC
RNAcentral lists this ribosomal RNA (159 nucleotides) under Campylopodium medium. RNAcentral describes it as "5.8S ribosomal RNA". It matches the Rfam family "5.8S ribosomal RNA". From Rfam's summary of the family: 5.8S ribosomal RNA (5.8S rRNA) is a component of the large subunit of the eukaryotic ribosome. It is transcribed by RNA polymerase I as part of the 45S precursor that also contains 18S and 28S rRNA. The record is from RNAcentral. Lineage: Eukaryota; Viridiplantae; Streptophyta; Bryopsida; Dicranales; Dicranellaceae.